CCGAACGCCCACGCUGCCCCGGCCGCCCGCCCCCUUCGGCUCCUUCUCCAUCCAUGCACAUGCUGUCACCAAAUUUCCCCUCGAAUCGGUACAAAUAACACCCAAAAUCGCCACCCGAAUCAUCUCUCCCGUCAUACCUGAACGUUUGUCGGUGGUUGCGGUAGGUACGCGGCCGCUUCUCAGCUGGCACGUGCCGCUUGGUGUGGUAUGCAUGGCCGCCGGAGCUGGUGUAAGACUAUGAGUGUGGCGCCCAGCAUCCAUGACUCAGCCGCGGCCACGGAAGAUUGGAACGGCAUGGGAGCGGAGAAGCACGGCAUGGAUGAAGUAGAGCGGCGAGGAAGGCGCGGUGCGAGGCUAGAGCCCGGCGGUGCUGUGACGAAGAGCACCUUACGAGGGGAACGGAUAAGGCAGGAGAAGGGAGAAAGAAAGAAACAAUGUGGGUCCACCGCGUACCAGCCUGUCCACGAAAUAGUGCCAGCAUC
Molecule: long non-coding RNA, 482 nt
Filed under: Setaria italica (foxtail millet)
Lineage: Eukaryota; Viridiplantae; Streptophyta; Magnoliopsida; Poales; Poaceae
Description: long non-coding RNA (SITA_LNC006728)
Source: RNAcentral